UUAAAGAAAAACAACAGAAAACGAGGGUGAGUUAUGCUUUAACCAAAACCAAGUGGAAACUAAAACAUUCAGCCAAAUAUACUGCUACCCAGUGCUCGACUCGGACGAAAACAACUCAAUCCAUUACAGAAGACAACCCAAAACGCAGCAGAAAAACUCAGCAUUUACGAACAGAAAUCUAACACCCUGCUCCCGAGUUUUAAAAAGGUGUUGAGUGGGUUCAACCCAAGUCCCACAUCGGAAAGAUAAAGAAGAUUUAUCUUGAAUAUAAGCAGCCAAAGAACUCCAUUAGUAUGAGGCCUUUUGGGAGGAGCCCGAAAGCAAAUCCGUGCGGGCUUGGCCACAACCCAAAGCGGACAAUAUCAUACUAAUGUGGGGUGUUGCGCGGCCCAACAAGUGGUAUCAGAGCGAGGUUAAGAAGUUUGUCUUGGGGUUCCGGGCUGCAGUUGGGUGAUGUGGGGAGGCUCCCCAGAACUACGAUUGGAGGUCUUGGACGGUUUGUGUCGAAAGUCUUUUCGACAAAGGUGGUCGGACGGCGUGUCCCGCAAGAUGAGGAGUCAAUGAGUAGCGUCGGUAUAAAGGUCACAAGAUUGGUGGUUCUUGGAUUGAGGGGAGAUUGUUGAGUGGGUUCAACCCAAGUCCCACAUCGGAAAGAUAAAGAAGAUUUAUCUUGAAUAUAAGCAGCCAAAGAACUCCAUUAGUAUGAGGCCUUUUGGGAGGAGCCCGAAAGCAAAUCCGUGCGGGCUUGGCCACAGCCCAGAGCGGACAAUAUCAUACUAAUGUGGGGUGUUGCGCGGCCCAACAAAAGGGAGGAAAGCAAGUGAAUGCAAGUGAAAGCACACUGCUUUCACUUGCAUUCACUUGCUUUCUCUCCUAAAAAAACUCGGGAGCAAGGCCUAAGCUAGCACUACUCAGACUCGCGACUCAGAAGAACAAACUCGGUAUAGCUACUCGACAUUGACUGAAAACAGAACCCCGAACGCAGACAUUGACUCGGCGAAGCUACUCUUGACUCAGCUGAAACCAUCAAGAAUCAGACUCAGCAAUGGUGACUAAAACGAAUUUACAACCCAGCUAUUUGAUUCAACAAAACAAGACUCAAAAACUAAAAAAAAGCAGAGUGCCUCGGAAACGAAACUGAAAACCAACAGCAACAAUCGACGCAGCAAAAUAAAACUUAAAACUAAACCGAGACUCGGCAAGAAUCAAUCAGCAAACUGAAAACCUAGAAAACGGCAAC
RNAcentral lists this long non-coding RNA (1240 nucleotides) under Daucus carota (carrot). RNAcentral describes it as "long non-coding RNA (DCAR_LNC004748)". The record is from RNAcentral. Lineage: Eukaryota; Viridiplantae; Streptophyta; Magnoliopsida; Apiales; Apiaceae.